Molecule: ribosomal RNA, 266 nt
Filed under: uncultured bacterium
Lineage: Bacteria
Description: partial 16S ribosomal RNA
Rfam family: Bacterial small subunit ribosomal RNA
Source: RNAcentral
AAUUUUAUUAAACUGGCGAACGGGUGAGUAACGCGUAGACAACUUGCCCAGGGAUUUGGGAUAACACCGAGAAAUUGGUGCUAAUACCCGAAUAACAUCACUUUGACCCCGGUCUUUGUGAUCAAAGGUGGCUUCGGCUACUGGUCUCUGGAUGGGUCUGCGUCUGAUUAGCUAGUUGGUGAGGUAAUGGCUCACCAAGGCGACGAUCAGUAGCUGGUCUGAGAGGAUGAUCAGCCACACUGGGACUGAGAUACGGCCCAGACUCC